GCCUUCAUGGUGUAUCGAUAGCACACUCGGCCCGUAUUCGAGAGGUCCAAGUUCGAGUCCCGGCGAGGGCA
Non-coding RNA from Stegodyphus mimosarum, 71 nucleotides. The record is from Rfam. Lineage: Eukaryota; Metazoa; Arthropoda; Arachnida; Araneae; Eresidae.